RNAcentral lists this ribosomal RNA (253 nucleotides) under uncultured bacterium. Its description in RNAcentral is "partial 16S ribosomal RNA". It matches the Rfam family "Bacterial small subunit ribosomal RNA", at positions 524 to 776 of the family's 1533-position model. The record is from RNAcentral.
UACGUAGGGUGCAAGCGUUAAUCGGAAUUACUGGGCGUAAAGCGUGCGCAGGCGGUGAUGUAAGUCAGUUGUGAAAUCCCCGGGCUCAACCUGGGAACUGCAUCUGUGACUGCAUCGCUGGAGUACGGUAGAGGGGGAUGGAAUUCCGCGUGUAGCAGUGAAAUGCGUAGAUAUGCGGAGGAACACCGAUGGCGAAGGCAAUCCCCUGGGCUAACACUGACGCUCAGGCACGAAAGCGUGGGGAGCAAACAGG